This 1153-nucleotide long non-coding RNA is filed under the name Felis catus (domestic cat). RNAcentral describes it as "lncRNA (ENSFCAG00000051467.1)". The record is from RNAcentral. Lineage: Eukaryota; Metazoa; Chordata; Mammalia; Carnivora; Felidae.
CGUGAGGUUGCAGACCGGACAGCGAGCCUCCCUCGUUCCGACGUUGCUCUGACCUCCGGAGAUGACAAGUGAGCAAGAAGUGUCCGAUCGGGCCAUCCCCUUCAGGCUUCAGGAGGAAAGGAGCUGCAAGGACAAUGGCCCUGACAGUGGAUUACAAGGUAGAGCUAUUCCUGUUUAUCAACCAAAGAGGAGAUCCAGGGAACAGCAUCAGAGAAGAUCCCAAGCACUGAAGACCUUCCUCCUCCAAGGAUGAAAUCUGAAUGGCUAAUCACAGUUACUUAUCAGCUCCUAAAACCUAAAUAGCAGGCAUGGCCAGUUGAGUGGGACCUCCAAGGAAAAUACAGCAUGCUACAGGAAGUAUAUUGCUAAUUUAAUGAAGUGCCAUACAUACAUGGCUUUGCAUCAGUGCUGAACGGAUGCCUCAGUACAGCAUCAGGAAACCCUGCUGCUGACAACACUAUAUUUCAAAGGUACUUUAAAGCCAACUUGACAACCCCCUCUUGGUGCCCAGAUAUUUCCAUGGCUCAUAUAUUAGAAGCAGGAGUCAGUAUAUGCUGAGCAAAACCUUUUGUGUAUAUACACAUUUCUGCCUCCCAGAUCCUUCCUAGAGGAUUAAUGUUGGGUUUUCAUUUAUUUUGGGUUUUUUUUUCUUUUCUUUUCUUUCUUUUCUUUUCUUUUCUUUUUUUUUUUUUUUUUUUUUUUUUUUUGGUUACUUUUACCCCUCAAACACCAUGUAGCUUUGCUGAAUAAUACUAAACAGCUGCAGUGUGCUACCCAGUGGGAUUGCUGAAAUUUUUGGCAAUUGCUGAAAUGUCUCCGUGUAGACACAUAUUCACACAUGUGGAGAUAGAAAAAUUGUUUAAGAACCAGGGGACCCAUCGGAAUGAAAGAUGCCAGCUAAGUGCUAAACAUUAUUAUUUCAUCUGAAAGAAGAGCGAGGCAGAGAAAAAUAAUUUCUGAUAAGACUGAAAAUGCCUCAGAAGUAUUAUGUUAAUUAUUAUCACAAAAGUUCAUCAGGAGCCCCCAAGCUCAGCAAACCUGACCAGAAAUCCAUUUCCCUUCUGACAGUCUACCAGCCUGUGCUAGCAUUCUUGCUCCUAAUUACUUCAAUUAAAGGUGCUUUAUAAUAAAGUGUUGUCAUUUCUCUUCCUCA